Molecule: unclassified non-coding RNA, 353 nt
Filed under: soil metagenome
Description: partial contains 5.8S ribosomal RNA, internal transcribed spacer 2, and large subunit ribosomal RNA
Rfam family: 5.8S ribosomal RNA (bases 1-120)
Source: RNAcentral
GAUGAAGAACGCAGCGAAAUGCGAUAAGUAAUGUGAAUUGUAGAAUUCAGUGAAUCAUCGAAUCUUUGAACGCACAUUGCGCCCGCCAGUAUUCUGGCGGGCAUGCCUGUUCGAGCGUCAUUACAACCCUCAGGCCCCCGGGCCUGGCGUUGGGGAUCGGCGGAAGCCCCCUGCGGGCACAACGCCGUCCCCCAAAUACAGUGGCGGUCCCGCCGCAGCUUCCAUUGCGUAGUAGCUAACACCUCGCAACUGGAGAGCGGCGCGGCCACGCCGUAAAACACCCAACUUCUGAAUGUUGACCUCGAAUCAGGUAGGAAUACCCGCUGAACUUAAGCAUAUCAAUAAGCGGAGGA